GGUUCGAUGGCGUAGUUGGGUAUCACAUCUGCCUGUUCGCGGUUUCACAGAAGGCCCUCAGUUCAAACUUGGGUCGAAAUCA
Gymnopus androsaceus JB14 is the source of this 82-nucleotide non-coding RNA. The record is from the annotation of a GenBank genome assembly. NCBI's taxonomy places the organism in Eukaryota, Fungi, Basidiomycota, Agaricomycetes, Agaricales, Omphalotaceae.